CUGGAUAAAUAAAAUCUUUCCCAUUAAAGGGUUACAUAAUAAAGUCUCCCAGGUUGUCUAACCUUUAAAUAUAAUCAUUCAAAUGCGGAAUUCAAAUUAUUACAUAACAUCAUUAUUAAGAAGUCUAUGAUCAUCACAAUAAAUAAAAGUACAAAUCAGCAUCACUUGUACAAUUUUCCCUUUCCUUUGCUAGUUGAAGGUUUAUCUACCUUCUCUACUUUAGCUGCAAUGAGUUUAUAAAUAUGCAAGAGUGAGCAAAAUAAUUGCUCACUGGAUAAAAUAAUGAAUCACAAAAGAAUAACAAUAAUAACUGCCAAUGAGUAGGCUCAUCAAAACUAGAUAGUAUUCUAACAAUGAUAAUCAGGAACUGAAAUCAAAUGAAUGGAAUAAACAUAAUCGAGGGUCAUAAGACCAUGAACUAUAUCCAUAGUUGCGAGUAAUCUUUUAACUCCAACUUUAACAGUCAUAAGACUAUAAGGACACCUCGUACUUAGGGGGAUCAGCCCUUCGUACCAUGUAUUGUGCACAAAUAUUUAACGCUACGCGUAAGUUACCCCCUAAUAAUAGGGUUGUUCAUCUCAGUAUUUAGAGUACAAGUCCGCACCAAAGAGAGUUUGGUUUGGAUAAGUUUUCAAGGGUAAUUUGAAAUUCAACGAUCAUCAACUAGAGGACUAGUUGAAUUAAUACUAAUAACAUCAUAUUAUAGAAUACUCGUAAUUGAAUCGUCAUGGUAAAUUAAAAUCAUGCUUUAGGAAUAAUCUAAUAGCAUACAACUUGAAUAACUAUAACACACCUUGCUUGAAAAAUAUUAAGCCAAUGUUAUUUAGAAUUGAAUACUAAGCAUGCAUGGCGAUAUGAACGAUAAACUAUUCAAAUAUAUUCGGGCAUGCUAAACAACAAGUUAAAUACAAGAAUAACUUGUUCAACAUCAAAAACAAAGUUUAGAAACCUUGCAUUAUUAUAUUGGAAACCAUAAUUAGUUCAAGCAAGAUAAAGGAUUAGAAAACUUGCCUUGCUCGUAGGCUAAACCGAAUCAAUUCGGAUCACAAUACCCUAUAUGUACAUAUAUAUAUAUAUAUAUAUAUAUAUAUAUGUCAUCAUGACAUAGUUAGUCACUACUACUUUACAAAUUUAACUAACUACAUACAUCAUAUAGGUUUGAUUAUUUAAUCAUAUAAUCAAGUUAUAACACAAGUUAAUCGUUAAUAACAUACUUAUUCAUAGUAUAAAAAUACUAAAAUCAACAUUUUACAGUCCUACUAUCAUCACAUAACAAUUCCUUAAAAUUUUGAGUACAAAAAGUACACUGUCAGACCAUUCUGCUAACUCGCACUACGGCGCCACAGUGUAUACUGUGGUGCGCGCGGAGAUGGUGCUACGGCGUGAGAAUAAAGCUACAAGGCCGCGCUGUGGCGUGGCGCUGUGGCGCGAAAAAUGAACUGCUGGGCCGCGCCGCGGCGCCAAACUGCAGUUUCGACUGACAGCUUCGGCAACAGUAUAAGUAAAAGCCAAUUUUGGCCUACAAGCUCGUUUCUAACAGUCUAAUUCACAUAUAAUUCAUACAAAGACUUCAUGUAAACAUAAUUUAAGAACUCCUAACAUGAUUCUACCCAUACAACAACAUAAACAACUAAUUUAAAACAUCCAAUUUCACUAUUUUUGAUAAAAAUUCACUUUUUGAUAUUUUUGAUGAAAAUCAAUACUGUGAUUUUGUUUUUCAACCAAAACAAUUAAUUUAAAUCAUUUUAUCAAAGUAUAUACAUACUCUAACAAAUUGAAUAGCCUAUUUAUCAAUAAAACAACUAAACAACCCAUAAUUUCUAUUUUAAAUUAACCCAUAUUCAUUCACAUAAACUCUCUGUAAAAAGGUUUUCUUCAUAAACUACAUACAUAACAACAAUUCAUUGAUUAUAAUCAUAUAAAACUUAUGAAAAUAACUUUACAACACUAGUUAAUCAUAUGAAUACCCAUAAAAUCAACAAUUUACCCUAUCACAAGAAUUUUACAGAGAAAUAGGAGAAGAGAAAACUAAAACUUUUAAAACUUAAAAAGGGUAGAAGAAUAACUUGCUUGUAGAAGAUGAUAGUUAUCCUUUUGAUUAUCAAGCGUUUCUCCAAUUCCUUUUUCCAAUUCUCUAGCCUUUCUUCCUUUCUUCUUUUCUCUCUCACUUUUCUUCUUCUCUUCUUCUUCUUCCUCUGAGUUUUUUCUUCCUAACACUAACUAGCGUACUAACAAAAUAACGUAUAUAAUAUAAUAUGUACUAAUUAUAUAACAUAAAUAUUAAUAUAACUGAUAUCAGUUAUAAUAGAUUUGAAAAUCAAAAGCCAUAAGGCUUGUUUGGUUAACUAACUAAAAAUAACCCAUUAACCCUUACACCUUGUUUGGUAAAGCACAAUUAGAUUAAAGACUUAAUAGGCAUUAGGCCUUAUUUGGCAAAACUGAAUUAAAACUCCUUUAAGUUAUUUUAAUAACUACUUUAUAAAAGGUUAUUUGUCACACUUUAUAACCAUUUAUUAAAUCACUACAUCACAUAAACCAAUACCACAAAAUUAUAAUUUUCUAUAUAAUUAUAACUUUAUUUAAUCAACUAACACAUCUUUUAAUUACAAAUUCAAAUAAAAGAAUAAUAAUUCAAUUAAUCAAACUCUCUAACUUAAUAAUUAAAUUAAAUUAGCAUAAAAUAAUUAAUUUCCUUAAUUAUUUAUUUAACAAAUAGUUAACCAAAUUGAAUCAAAUUUGAACAAUUAUUUAUUUAACAAUAAACACAUCCAUUAAAUACUUAAAUAUUUCAAUAAAUAUUUAAUAUAACAAUAAAAAUUCUGGAAUGUUACAUCAUUCCCUCCUUACAAGGAUUCUGUCCCCAGAAUCACAAUUCAAACAAUUCAUUCGUCACAAUAUUGUUUCCAUAAAUUUUGAGAUAUGGGUUUUCCAUUAUUAGGUUUUCCAUAAUUAUGGAAAUAAUUUUGAAUUGCAUAAAAAUAAAUAUGGAAGUGCUUAAUUUAUGGAACAAUUUAAUUGGGUAUUUAAAAUUAAUAAGGAAAUAUUUUAAAUGCUAAUUUUUGAAUCUGCCCAACCAAUUAGGAAAUUAAUAUCUUUUUGUAUAACAAAAUUACUAAUUAAAGCUACCCAUUAUUUUGUUAAGUGAUUAACCUUCCAUGAUAUCUAAUUUGAUAAGCCUACUUUAAAGCAACAUGUUUUCUUAAGUCACAUGAUUAGCUCAAUGAAUGAUGGUAUGAUAUAAGUAUAUUAACAAAACAAAAUCUUUAGUUAUUCAUAUUAUCCUAUUUGGCGAAAUUAAUGUGGAUAUAUAUUGGAAUAUUUAAAUGGGCUUACCUUAAUGGUAAAUAUCAGUGGAGCAUGUAAUAUAAAUUGGUUGAAUUAUAUCAAAAGGCUAACGUCUUUAUUGUAAGACUCAUUAGUGGCUGGAAUCAAUUAGUGGGGUUGUUUCAACAAAUCAUAUAUCUAAUUGAUUUGGUAGUCUAUCAUCUUUUAACAACCUUAUCCUACUAUGAUAUCAACUUAUUCCAUAAUGGUUCUAACAGGAAAAAAAAAGAUUGCAACAGCUAUGUUUUCAAGGCCGAUUCCUUUGAUAUUUCCAACAGGCAUCAAAAUAGCUAAACUAUAAAAGGAGUCUAGUUGCUCAGAAAAGAACUACGGACAUAAAAAUUAGAAUACCUUAUAUACACUAUGACCUUUCUUCACAUACAAUUAUAAGGGCUGCAAAGUUGUCAAUUGUGAAGUAUUUUUAAAAAAGCUGUUACACUUCAAGAUAUAUCAAUGAAUCAACAAGAUAAUAAUAACUGCCAAUGAAUAAGCUCAUCAAAGCUGAAUGGUACUCUAUCAGUGAUAACCAAAGACUGGAAUCAAAAUAUGGAAUAUAUAUCUGAGGGUCAUAAGACAACGAACUAUGUCCAUAGUUGCGAGUAAUCUUUCAACUCCAACUUUAACAGUCAUAAGACUAUAAGGACUCCUCGUACUUAGGGGGAUCAACCCUUCGUACAAUGUAUUGUGCACAAACAUUUCAAAGCUAAGCGUAAAUUAUCCCCUAAUAAUAGUAUUCUUCAUCUCAGUAUUUAGAGUACAAGUCCGCACCAAAGAAAGUAUGGUUUGGAUAAGUUUUCAAGGGUAAUUUGAAGUUUAACGAUCAUCAACUAGAGGACUAGUUGAAUGAAUAGUGUUUGAUAACACAACAGUUGAUCAAUAAUAACAUAAUAUGGAACAAUGAAUAAGUGUAAGCGAACUAACUACAUCUUGAACUCAUGCUUAGAAACAAUUACAAAGCAUAAGUAUUGAAUGACAAUAAACCUUGCUUGAAAAAUAUUAAGCUAGGACUAUGAAUUAUUGAAUAUACAUUAAGUAAUAGCAAGCUGAAAAUAAAGCUUGCUCAUUAUGAGAAUAGCUUGUGUCAAGUAAAUGAACUAAGAUAAUUCAACAUUAGAAAUUAGAAUUCAUAGAAAAUUGCAUUCAUAAUACACGAAUGACAAUAAAGAAACUUGUCUAACAAUAAACAAGUUAGAAUACAUCAAUAAAUAUUGGAAUUCAAAACUUGUUCGAAUAAAGUUAAAGUCAUAGCUAGCUUGUUCAAAUAAUAAUUAGGAAUACAAGAGUUCGCUUAAUGAAAGUUUAAAGUAAGAAACUUGCUCAACAUAAAUGUUGAGUUAGAAAACUUGCCUCGAGCGUAAGCUAUAAUAUUAAACUCACGUUCACCUACACAUAGGUUUAGAACCACAAUACCUAUUAGAUAUGCUAACAUACCAUAACAUGUACAUUUCUAGCUAAACUUAUCAUUUUAGCACAAGUCUUAUGCUACUAUACAAAUAUCAGAAAUUUCAAGUGUUAACCUUCACAACACCUGUUUACUUUUCAUCAUGCUCACUAAGCCUAACAUGCCACGUUCAUUACUUACUAAUCAUUUGAAACUUUAAAUUUACUAACCACAUAACACAACUUUUUUUAACCUUGUUGUUACGUGUUUAUCAUACUAACACAUCAUUGGACCAUGGUAUGAUGCUAUCCCAUAACUGCAGCAGUAGCAGAAGUCACUAUCCCAAACCAGGGUAUGGUGCAGCUGCGCCAUACACAGGCCUGGGACGGGCGCAACACGUAGCUGCGCUGGUGCACAGACAGAGACAGAGACGGCUAUGAACAGUAGCCGACUUUAGCCCAACAACCACGAAUUUCACCCACUAAACAGUAAUAUUAACACGAACAAUUGAUACAAAACCAUCAUAAACAUAUUUGCCAACAUAUUCCUCAACAUAAAACAAUUUAACAACAAUUACACUAGUUUAAUUUCCUCAAAUUCCAUAUUUUUAUAUAAAACUUCAUUUUUGAGUUCCUUAGAUCAACACUGUAAACACAAUUCUUGUCCAAAUUGCUUCAUUCAAAUUACGUUGUCUUCGUUUCUUAAUGAACUAGCAUAAUCAAGCCUCAAUUUGCAGUUUAGCAUACUAAUUAACCAUCAUAAUUGGUACUUCAUAAGCCAUAUGAGAAAACAUACUGGAAUUUACUUUUCUUCCUUUUUAAGCUGUAAUUAGCAUACAAUCAUAAGCUCUAGCAUCACAAAUUACAUAUAAAUUGCAAUAACUCAGUUUUCUACAACAAUUCGAGAGAAUUUGAAUUCACAGAGCACAUAUAAGUUAUGUCGUAACCUCAUAUAUACAUAUUUAUAUAUAUAAUAUUAAGGUUGUAUAAGAAGUACCUUCAAAUUGCUUGCAAUCCUUUUUGUUAAACACUGAAAAUUCUCUAAAAUCCUUCUCUCUCAAAUUCUCUCAAGCUCUAUCAAGCUCUCUCUGAACUCUCAGUGUUCUUCCUAGGCAACUAAGGUUAUGCGUAAAAACCCAAACUGAUAAUCAAGCGUAAGAAAUAAAACUGAUAACCUUAAUACGCCAAACUUAAUAAAAUGUCAGUUACAAAACAAACGUAUAUAUUAUAAAUAUAUUAUAUUUAUUAUUUAUUUUAUUUUAUUUACUUUAUUUAUAAUUCAAAAUUCAAAAACUAAUAAUCCAAAUGCCAUAAGGCUUUGUUUGGCAAAACCCUUUAAAAUUUAAAGACUUAAUAUUUUAAGCCUUGUUUGGCAAAAACUAAAUUAAACUCCCUUAAUUUAUUUUAAUAAACCAUUUAGUUUAUAAUUUAUAAUUACAUCUUAUUUAUUUGGAUUUCCAUAUCCAUCAUUUAUUAAAUAAAUCAAUCACAUUCUAUAUUUUAAAUAAAUUUACCAUUUAAACAAAUAACACAAAAUUAUAAUUUCAUUAUAAUUUUAUUUAAUAAUUUAAUAUACCAUUUUAAAUUAUUAAUUAACAAUAUAACACCUCAUGUCAAAUUACAACUCUCUAAAUUAUAAAUUAAUUUAAUUUAGAAUAUUAUCUAAUAAAUUUAGAUUCAUAAAUAUAUAUUAACAACCAUCACAUCAAUAAAUAUUUAUUCAACAAUAAACACCUCAAAUAAAUAUUUAUAUAAUUCAAUAAAUAUUUAAAAUUAUAAUUUGAAAUUCUGGAUUGUUACAGAAACCUUAAUAUCCAAGUCCCACAUUGGGUCACUUAUAAAAGUCUUAAGUAAGUUUUUCUUAUAAAAAGACUUCAAAGUGAAACAUUAAGAGUCAAGUCCCACAUUGGUUCACUUAUAAAAGUCUAAUGAAGUUUUCCUUAUAAAUAUUGGUUCACUUAUAAAAGUUUAAGUAAGUUUUCCUUGUAAAAAGAUUUCAAAGUUAAACCUUAAUAACAAAGUCCCACAUUGGUUCACUUAUAAAAGUCUAAGAAGUUUUUCUUAUAAAAAGACUUCCAAGUGAAAUCUUAAUAGCCAAGUCCCACAUACUUUGGAAAAUCUUAAUAGCCAAGUUCCACAUACUUACUUUGGAAAAUCUUAAUAGCCAAGUCCCACAUAUUUAUAAAAGUCUAAGGAAGUUUUUCUUAUAAAAAGACUUCCAAGUGAAACUUUAAUAGCCAAGUCCCACAUUGGUUCACUUAUAAUAGUCGUAAGGAAAUCUUAAUAGUAAAGUCCCACAUUGGUUCACUUAUAAAAGUCUAAGGAAGUUUUCCUUAUAAAAAGACUUCCAAGUGAAACCUUAAUAGCCAAGUCCCACAUUGGUUCACUUAUCAAAGUCUAAGGAAGUUUUGCUUAUAAAAAAACUAUUAAGUAUGAAAUGAGACCUUAAUAGCCAAGUCCCAAGGGAAACAUUAAUAAUUGGUGGUUUACAAGUUCUAUAUUAAUAAACUUAAAUUAUUUAUCAAUAAGUUGGGAAAGAUCUGCUCCAAAGUUAGAAUAAAAGUCUCAAGUCCACAUUGAUUAAUAAAAAUUUAAGGAAGACCUUAAUAAUUGGUUAAUUUAUAAAAGUCUAAGGAAAUUUUUCUAUAAAAAAACUACAAGUGAGACCUUAAUAGUCAAGUCUCACAUUGAUUAUUUUUCUAUAAAAAAAACUAUAAGUGAGACCUUAAUAGUCAAGUCCCACAUUGGUUAUUUUUUAAAAGUCUAAGGAAGUUUUCCUUAUAAAAAUACUACUAAGUGAGAUCUUAAUAGGAAAGUCCCACAUUGGUUAUUUUAUAAAAGUCUAAGGAAGUUUUCCUUCUAAAAAGACUACUACCAAGUGUGAUUUUAAUAGCAAAGUCCCACAUGGGUUAUUUUAUAAAAGUCUAAGGAAGUUUUCCUUCUUAAAAGACUAUCAAGUGAAGUUUUCCUUGAGACCUUAAUAGCCAAGACCCACAUUGGUUAUUUUGUAAAAUUCUAAGAAAGUUUUUCUUAUAAAAAGACUUCCAAGUCUUUUAUUUUUUAAUUGGGUUGAAUUUUAGUUUGAAGAAGGUUGGGCCUAAUACAAGUCAUGGGCUACUUGACCUUUAGCCGAAUUUAGGCUCAAAAACAAGUCUUGGGCUGCUCUUUCUUGUUAUAACUGCAAAUUAAAGAAACUAACCUUCUAUUUCAUGGGCUUCUAAAGCCUCUUAUAUUGUUCUAACCAAUUUUCACACGUUCGUCCUACAUCAUUUCUCCUUUGUUGAAAAAAACAUGACUACGUCGAGUUAAAAACAUCACUACGAGAAUAAUCACGCUAGAUCACCAAGGAAUUCUUUACAAAAUUAAAAGUUGGUAUGUCGAUAGCACAUGUAAGAGUGAACCUGAUAUGGCCUUUGAUAAUUGAAUAGAUAUUAGCACGAGCAUCAUGUUGCGCACGAUGAUCCCAUAACCAUGUACGCCCUAAGAUAAUGUUACAAACAUUAAGGGGUAGAAUAUCACACAUAACGGUAUCCUUAAGCUUGCCAACAGAAAAUGUAACUGAAUACCUCUGGGUAACCUGCAACUUUGUAUUGGUAAUCCAUACAACAUCAUACGGCUCCGGGUGAGGCUCAACUUUUAACCAAAGCUUAUUAACUGCUUCCUCUAAUAUAAUUUUCGUACAACUCCUAGUAUCAAUCACAAGAGAGCACACCUAUCCCGCACAUAUAACGCUCGUCUGAAAAAUUCGCCCAUGAUGAAUUUGAGAAUCAUCCUUACAUUUUUAAGCAACAAGUAAAGGUUGAAGAACACCUAAACAUCAUUCCAAAUGAGCAUUAGAUUCUAAAUCUUGCUCACCGGGUUCAUAUUCGUCGUUCAUCGGUUUGCAAACCUAAGGCUGUAAACGAGUAAACAGUUCGGGCUCGAGUGAACUCUGUACUAGAAUUGACAGCACUAACACUGCAAUCCAUAGAUACAAACAAUUAUAAAAGCUGUUCUAUAUCCUAGACUCGUACUUUAGGGGAUCAGCCUAAGUACCCUACAUUGUGCAUAACAUAACAGUCUAAUGACACUUUACAUGUCCUUCGGAAUCAUAUGUCCGAUACAAUAUGCCCCUAUAAAAGGGUUGUUCGUUCACAGCAUUAUAUAAGAAUCUGCACCACAACAAAAUGGUUUGGAAAAUAUUAUAUGAGAUUUUCAUGAAUAAUAUCAAUGUAUCUCAACAGUUGUCUAACUAAAAUAAUGGCAUUGGCAUACUUUCAAUAUAAACUUAUUUAAGAGAGAAGUAUUAUUCUUUUGAAGUUGAUUGGAAUAAAAAGGUUAUUUAGCCUUAUAUUAUUCAUAAAUAAUGAGAGACGGAUCAGAAAUUGGAGAACCUGUCCAUUCUAUAAUACUUGCUCAAUAAAGAGUAAGAGUUAGAAACAUGCCUCGUUUGUAGUCUAUUGUUAAGAUUUCAGCUUAAUUGAAGUGUUCUCAUAGAUCCUACACAGUUAUUUACAUUAGCAAGCAUGUUAGCCACAUAGCCAAGCCACAUAGUUUGUAAGCUCACAUAUCACGUAGUUUUAGUGAUCAUGGUUGUAUUUAGAUUCCUAUAUUUGAGAUAUUUUAUACAUUUUUCAAAUACCUCAUCCAUGUUUUCACAUUAGUCAUUUUUCACUUUGAUGGGAUUUGACAUACUUAUAUCAUGCAAUAGGAAUCACUUACCAUUUACAUCUUAUUCAGGAUUUAGAACAUAAAGAUUUCAUGUGUUCUUGAGUUAAGUCAUAGCAGCCCAUACCAAAGUAAUUUUGUGUUGGUUUAGACUUCUAAGCAAGCUUCUUUAUAUUUCUUGAAACUAAUGCCCAAACUAGGCCACUAUUCACAGUUUUGAGUUUACUAGUUUUGGUCCAUUAUUUCCAAUUUCAUUUCUAGCCACCUUGGUUCAUUCCAACACUUGAAUUAUAUCUAGUUAGGACUAGUUCUAGCAUCUUUAGGUUUACUAAGCAUAGAUUGGGUUUUGACCCUCUAAACCUAGCUUUUUCAAGCUUUUACACACUAACUUCUCAAGUUCUUGUAUAUAUUAGCAUUCCAACACUUGGAAUAACCUAGUAUAACUCUAACUCACUUGUCUAAGGUAUCCAAAUUGAGUUCUAAGUAGAAUAGAAAAAUCUCAAAUUUUCAUACUUAGACAAAUUUGCAAAACUACAGUUUUAAAGAUUUUCCAUGCUAGAUUGGUGAUUUGUUUAAAGUCCUUGGUUAAGCCAAGAGAAUAACCACUUGGCCCUACUUUUAGACCAUACUACAAGGUAUUUUAAUCAAGGUUUAGAUUUCUUGUUCAUGCCCAUUAAGCCUCCCAAAACAGGGCUCAAACUUAGCCAUUUUCUUAUUUUAUUACAAAACUGAUUUUGUACUUUUUCCAAAUUUUUCUUGUUUUGGCCACUAGGAUAGUCUAGGCAUGUGUAUUUAAGUUACUUAAGGAUACGUUUAGCAUCACCACACUUUAUUUAAUCAUCUAGCCCAUUUUGACCUAUCAAAGCUCACUUUAGGCUUGAAAAAGAGAUCUUAACUUGGUUCUCUUGCUAGCUUUGGUAAUGGCCAUGAUUUGGAAUCAUUACUAUCAUGUAUGAGCAACUUUAUAUAAGCUCACAAUAGUCCCUUAAUGUCAGGUACUAAGGAUUGCCCAAAAUAGCCCAUUUUUAGCUUUAAAAUGUGAUCUUUAACAAGUUUAAUGAUCAAAAAAGUUUAGACUUUGUUUCCUUAGCUUGUGUAGCUUAAUUAGGUCAUAUUUUAGCUAUUGGAACUUGUCUAUAUAGUCUAGAUAUGGUAGUUCUUCAUUUAGGUGCUAGUUGCUUUUUAAAGCUUACUUUCAUGGAUUUUUAAACAUGACUUUAUACAAUACACCUUGUAAACCUUAACUAACUUAGGGAACAACUUUUAAGUGAUAUUUUUAGACUAUUUAGAGACUUCAUAUUGCCUCUCAACUUCAGUUUGCAAACAUUACUCAUAACAGUCCUUUUUUAUCUUUUUAUGCCAACAACUAAGCUUGGCUUGGCCCUGUGAGGCUCAGCUAAGCUUGGUGUGGCCUUGUUUAGCCUCACGGCCCCUAAGUCAAAUCCAAAGCUACUAUUGCAGCUGUUAACUUGACAAUUGUUGCCACAAAUGAGCAGUUGCUCGGCCACUUUUCUUUAACUUUUUUAUAUUUGCAAACUCCCAAGGAUAGUCUAUAUGCCUGUUUAUAAACUAACUUAGACUAUACUUAUUAGUUAGCUCUAGACAACUAUAUUAGUUUGUUAAGACAGACUGCCCAAACUGCCUUAGUAGUCCUCUACUUGCCAACUGUUGCUAUUUUUUUCUAUAGCCAGUAGGCAGCAGUCCCAAGUCCUAUGCCAUUCAAAGGUUUUACUUCUUAACUUCAUGAAAUCUUGGCAUGCUAUAUGUGAUACAAUCCUAGUUAUGCUUACCUUCCAACUAGGCUGGGAGAAAAAGUUGUUAGUGCCACUAAAGGACACUGCUUCUGCUGUUGUGACACACUUCUUGCUGCUAUUUGCAGCAAAAUGCUGCCGCCAAUGGCAGCAGCUAUGCUCUUUAUCUCAGGGAAUUUCUGGCUUCAUAUUAGGUAGCUUAUUUAUAACUUAUUUCAAGAACUUUAUAGAUAAUAUACUCACUCUCAGUUAACUCAACAUUUGCAGCCAUUGAAUUACAUUUGCAAAUUGGUUUGUGACCACUGAUUGUCGGUACACGUUGCUGCCUAUGGGCAACAGCUCCUUUUCUUAUCCCUUUGUUUUGUUGCACUUUAUUCCCCCAUUCUUGACCCUCUUAUAUCAAGUGUUGGGUAUUUCAUAACUUAUAUUUAUUCUUAUUGUAGAGAAGUAUUACAUAAGUAUAUUUAGUAGUUUAAUUGUGCCAAACUAAAGCUCAAGGAAAGCUUCAACUGUUGCACAUGACUGCUGCUACUGUGAGCAGCAGCUGUACCACUAACUCCAUACCAUCUUUGGCUUGAAUUUGAGUUUUCGUUUCUAAUUGGCAUGCUUAUUCGCUCUAUUUUUAACCCCCUAUAGCAUACCAAUUUGUCCCAGCCCUUAAUUCUUUCUAGUAAUUAAUUUUUACUCAAAAUAGUUUACUGGGGACUUUUAACGAACAUGUGGUGUGCACAGUAUUGAUUUACCAGAUUCAUAGUCAUAGGUUUAUAACAUACAUCCUCAUUAUCCUUCUUAUUACUCCACAGCCCAACCUAUCUCCUUGUGCUUAACUUCAGUCCAUAUUAAUACAACAAUCAGCAUACCAGACAUUUUAAUUCAUAGAAUAGUUAACAUAGCAACCAAAAACAGAACUUAAUGUAACAGUCCUUCUAUUCCCAGCCAUUCAGAAUUUACAGUUCAGUUGCUUAACAAGGAUGGAAUGAAAAAGGAAUGAAAAGGGAUUUGAGGACUUACCUUUAUAGCUCAGUGUUUGCAAAUGGUUAUUGCUCAGUUUCUCUCCUUCCUCGAUCAGACUCCAUUUUCUUCUCUCUAAGUGUGUUACAGUUUUGAAGCUCAGUUAGUAGUACACCCACUGAGUUUGAGAUACUUAGUAUGGUUAUAAGUAGCUAAGAAGUAAAGGCUAACCAUCAUGGCUCUACUUAGCUGCUACCACCGUACUCUAACAGCCUAAGUCAGUUGCCCCUAUUUGCUCAGCUGAUACACUCCCCCUUGGAUCCUAUCUAGCUCCUUAUCUGGCCCCUAUACAGCAACCUAGAUUGGCCUCUAUAAGACUCUUGCUGGGCUACCUUUGCUAGUAGCUACAUUGACCCUUAUUGUUGCCUGAAAUUUUAGCUCUUACAGUGAUUAGCCUCUCAG
RNAcentral lists this long non-coding RNA (12515 nucleotides) under Panax ginseng (ginseng). Its description in RNAcentral is "long non-coding RNA (PGIN_LNC004692)". Lineage: Eukaryota; Viridiplantae; Streptophyta; Magnoliopsida; Apiales; Araliaceae. The record is from RNAcentral.